RNAcentral lists this long non-coding RNA (633 nucleotides) under Nicotiana tabacum (common tobacco). RNAcentral's name for it is "long non-coding RNA (NTAB_LNC013349)". The record is from RNAcentral. Lineage: Eukaryota; Viridiplantae; Streptophyta; Magnoliopsida; Solanales; Solanaceae.
AGGAUAUGUCGGGUUCAUCCGCCCUCAAAUAGGAUAUGUCGGGUUCAUCCGCCCUCAAAUAGGAUAUGUCGGGUUCAUCCGCCCUCAAAUAGGAUAUGUUGGGUUCAUCCGCCCUCAAAUAGGAUAUGUUGGUUUCAAUCUUUACAUUUCUUGACAGGCGCCCACCUGAAUAACGAGAGGAAUACAUUUUCUGUCUUUUCAUUUCUUUUCAAGGUCACCCACCAGUAUAAUGCGGGCAUAUCAUUUUUUGUGUCUUUACCAUUAGGCGCCCACCUGUAUAAUAAGGGAAUACAUUCCACGUCUUUGCCCAUAGGAGACGCAUUUCCUCCUAGGUUUGUUUAGUUUUACCCAUAGGAGAUGCAUUUCCUCCUAGGUUUGUUUAGUUUCACCCAUAGGAGACGCAUUUCCUCCUAGGUUUGUUUAAUUUUACCCAUAGGAGAUGCAUUUCCUCCUAGGUUUGUUUAGUUUUACCCAUAGGAGAUGCAUUUCCUCCGAGGUUUGUUUCAGUUUCACCCAUAGGAGAUGCAUUUCCUCCUAAGUUCAGUUCUACCAAUAGGAGACGCACUUCCUAAGUUUAUUGCACCCAAUAGGAGACGCACUUCCUAAGCAAUGCUUUUACCAGUAGGAGACGCA